This 345-nucleotide unclassified non-coding RNA is filed under the name soil metagenome. Its description in RNAcentral is "partial contains 5.8S ribosomal RNA, internal transcribed spacer 2, and large subunit ribosomal RNA". The stretch from base 1 to 120 matches the Rfam family "5.8S ribosomal RNA", at positions 35 to 154 of the family's 154-position model. The record is from RNAcentral.
GAUGAAGAACGUAGCGAAAUGCGAUACGUAAUGUGAAUUGCAGAAUUCAGUGAAUCAUCGAGUCUUUGAACGCACAUUGCGCCCCCUGGUAUUCCGGGGGGCAUGCCUGUCCGAGCGUCAUUGCUGCCCUCAAGCAUGGCUUGUGUGUUGGGCCUCCGUCCUCCUCCCGGGGGACGGGCCCGAAAGGCAGCGGCGGCACCGCGUCCGGUCCUCGAGCGUAUGGGGCUUCGUCACCCGCUCUUGUAGGCCCGGCCGGCGCUUGCCGACACAUCAAUCUUUUUUCCAGGUUGACCUCGGAUCAGGUAGGGAUACCCGCUGAACUUAAGCAUAUCAAUAAGCGGAGGA